Molecule: ribosomal RNA, 462 nt
Filed under: uncultured Acaulospora
Lineage: Eukaryota; Fungi; Glomeromycota; Glomeromycetes; Diversisporales; Acaulosporaceae
Description: SSU rRNA
Rfam family: Eukaryotic small subunit ribosomal RNA
Source: RNAcentral
AGCAGCCGCGGUAAUUCCAGCUCCAAUAGCGUAUAUUAAAGUUGUUGCAGUUAAAAAGCUCGUAGUUGAAUUCCGGGAUUCAUUCGUUGGUCGGGCUUUUUGGUCUGUACUGGCGUGAUGGAUUCCUACCUUCUGAAUAACCGGCAUGUCAUUAAUUUGGUGCGCCGGGGAAGCAGGACUGUUACCUUGAAAAAAUUAGAGUGCUUAAAGCAGGCUAUCGCCUGAAUACAUUAGCAUGGAAUAAUGAAAUAGGACGGCAUGGUUCUAUUUUGUUGGUUUCUAGGAUCACCGUAAUGAUUAAUAGGGAUAGUUGGGGGCAUUAGUAUUCAAUUGUCAGAGGUGAAAUUCUUGGAUUUAUUGAAGACUAACUUCUGCGAAAGCAUUUGCCAAGGAUGUUUUCAUUAAUCAAGAACGAAAGUUAGGGGAUCGAAGACGAUCAGAUACCGUCGUAGUCUUAACCAU